Molecule: ribosomal RNA, 467 nt
Filed under: uncultured bacterium
Lineage: Bacteria
Description: bacterial SSU rRNA
Rfam family: Bacterial small subunit ribosomal RNA
Source: RNAcentral
UGGCGGCGUGCCUAACACAUGCAAGUCGAACGGACGAGGGGAGCUUGCUCCCCAAGUUAGUGGCGGACGGGUGAGUAACACGUGAGCAACCUGCCCUUCGGAGGGGGACAACAGCUGGAAACGGCUGCUAAUACCGCAUGAUGUAUCCUGGGGGCAUCUCCGGGAUACCAAAGAUUUAUCGCCGAAGGAUGGGCUCGCGUCUGAUUAGAUAGUUGGUGGGGUAACGGCCUACCAAGUCGACGAUCAGUAGCCGGACUGAGAGGUUGAACGGCCACAUUGGGACUGAGAUACGGCCCAGACUCCUACGGGAGGCAGCAGUGGGGAAUAUUGGGCAAUGGGGGCAAACCCCCUGACCCAGCAACGCCGCGUGAAGGAAGAAGGCUUUCGGGUUGUAAACUUCUUUGACGAGGGACGAUAGUGACGGUACCUCGAAAACAAGCCACGGCUAACUACGUGCCAGCAGCAGC